UUUUAGCUCACCUGAGCCAUUUUAAGACCCGAGCGAGUUUUCUGUUCUGUGUCUGGUAUUCGUCGGUCAUCUAUAAACUUUUCAAAUUUUUACAUUCAUGAGAAUUAUUCCUAGUUUGAAUAAAAAUCCCUGCAAGAUACAUCUUUUCUUUCAGAAAUUGUGCCAGAAAAGUUUGAAGUAGCUAUGGGAAUGAUCAACAUUGAACUUGCUGAGGCUCUCUUCCUGAAAGUGACUUGACCAGAUAUUUGGCUACCCAGUAUGAGUAUCUUUCUGCUACAUUAAAUAAAAUAUCGUGGAGGAACACGAAGAAAAGGGCUGCGCACCUCAACAUAUUCAAGGUCAAGCAGCUUUUUAUCAUAUCCAUAGUAUCUUGCUGCUAAAUGAAAGAAUUAGUGUGGAGGAGCAGAGAAAAGGGCACCUCAAUAUGUUCAAGGUCAAGCAGAAAUUAGGAGCUAGGUGUGCUUCUCCAGAGCUGAAAACUUCUUGGCAUGAAGAGAAGAAGAAGCAAGAAAAAGCAGUUUUAAAUAUUGAUUACGUCUUCAUAGUACAAAAAAUGAUUCUAAAGAUAAUACUAUCUAUGAAAUUAGAAAGCUGAAGUUGCGUUCUGAUGAAUGUGAGAAUGUCUUGAAAGAACAGGACACCAAAAGUGCCAUUCUCAAAUCAAAGCACUCUAAAAGGCAGAGCAUAAGAAGAA
This is a long non-coding RNA of Saccostrea cuccullata (small rock oyster), 694 nucleotides long. RefSeq lists it as uncharacterized. Lineage: Eukaryota; Metazoa; Mollusca; Bivalvia; Ostreida; Ostreidae. The record is from RefSeq and is a predicted model, not a curated record. The transcript has 4 exons.